Molecule: ribosomal RNA, 701 nt
Filed under: Neoechinorhynchus sp. DNA2201
Lineage: Eukaryota; Metazoa; Acanthocephala; Eoacanthocephala; Neoechinorhynchida; Neoechinorhynchidae
Description: LSU rRNA
Rfam family: Eukaryotic large subunit ribosomal RNA
Source: RNAcentral
UGAGUACGCAUAGGUUCAGGCUGUGAUUCAGAUGUGUGUGGUCACCUAGUACGUGCGGCGUUGAUGUUGUACAUGCUGGUACACAUGCAUUGCAUUUGGCAGCCUGACACUCUGCUUGGCUUCGUUCCAGCCGCAGCCACAGUGAAGUACGCCUCUUCCUCGUGAAGGUGGACGUGUCACUAGUAGUGUUGCUAAGCGCACGCGCGUGGGUAACUGUUUUAUUACAGUUGUCGGUUGUGACGGAGUUUGGCAAACUCUCGUUCACAGAGCCACUCGAUAGGCCUUCCGACCGGUGAUGAGCUGCUGGCGUGUUUACACGUCACAGUAUGUCUAGCCGGUCUAUGGGAUGCUGUUAUCGGCUAUGUGGAUGUUGAAAGCAGGUAUUGUUGCGGCAUCAUUCGAACCGUCUUGAAACACGGGCUAAGGAGUUCAACAAAUGCGCGAGUUUGCUGGUAUAAUGAAACCAGAAGGCGAAGUUAACGCGACUUUGUGAUUAAUGGUGAGAACUCGUCUGCUGCAAAGUACGGCGGGGUCAUCACCUAUGAUGGAUGGCAUAUUGAGUACCGGUUGUCGUUCGCAGUCGAGCGCAUAUGCUGAGACCCGAAAGAUGGUGAACUAUGCCUGAGUAGGAUGAAGCCGGAGGAAACUCUGGUGGAGGUCCGAAGCGUUUUUGACGUGCAAAUCAAUCGUCAGACUUGGGU